AUUCGCCUACGGGGCGCAGCAGUGAGGAAUAUUGGUCAACGGGCGGGAGCCUGAACCAGCCAAGCCGCGUGAAGGAAGAAGGCGCCAGGCGUCGUAAACCUCUUUUGUCGGGGAGCAAAGGCGUCCACGGGUGGGCGGAUGAGUGUACCCGAAGAAAAAGCAUCGGCUAACUCCGUGCCAGCAGCCGCGGUAAUACGGAGGAUGCGAGCGUUAUCCGGAUUUAUUGGGUUUAAAGGGUGCGUAGGCGGACAGUCAAGUCAGCGGUAACAAUGCGGUGCUCAACGCCGUACAGCCGUUGAAACUGG
Molecule: ribosomal RNA, 305 nt
Filed under: uncultured bacterium
Lineage: Bacteria
Description: bacterial SSU rRNA
Rfam family: Bacterial small subunit ribosomal RNA
Source: RNAcentral